UUGUAUUGACAGCCAAGGCAGUAUCAAGAUCUUCUAUUCCCAAAUGAUGAACUUCCUUUUGUUUCUCCACACUUAGAACCAUAGAAUAGGCUCUAUUUAUGUUAGGUAAAGGCUCUGAGAUUAGGAUCUGGUUCCUAACAUAUUCAUAACCUUCAUUCAAACCCAUUAAGAAUUGAAUUAACUUGUCUUCGUUGUCAAUAUCUGUCAUAUAUUUU
Molecule: unclassified non-coding RNA, 215 nt
Filed under: Hevea brasiliensis (rubber tree)
Lineage: Eukaryota; Viridiplantae; Streptophyta; Magnoliopsida; Malpighiales; Euphorbiaceae
Source: RNAcentral